AUAUUUCACAAUGGGCGUCCGCCUGAUCCAGCCCUUCCUCGUGUGUGACGAAGGUCUUCGGAUUGUAAAGCACUUUAAGUUGGGAGUCAGGUCAGUCAGUUAAUACCUUGCUGUCUUGACGUUACCGCCCGAAUAAGUACCGGCUAACUUCGUUUCCGCAGCCACGGUAAUACGAAGGGUGCAAGCGUUAAUCGGAAUUACGGGGCGUAAAGCGCGCGUAGGUGGUUUGUUAAGUUGGAAGUGAAAGCCCCGGGCUCAACCUGGGAACUGCUUUCAAAACUGGCAAGCUAGAGUACGGUAGAGGGUAGUGGAAUUUCCUGUAUAGCGGUGAAAUGCGUAGAUAUAGGAAGGAACACCAGUGGCGAAGGCGACUACCUGGACUGAUACUGACACUGAGGUGCGAAAGCGUGGGGAGCAAACA
Molecule: ribosomal RNA, 421 nt
Filed under: uncultured bacterium
Lineage: Bacteria
Description: partial 16S ribosomal RNA
Rfam family: Bacterial small subunit ribosomal RNA
Source: RNAcentral